GGGGAAAAGAUCCAGUAGCCUUGGACUUUUUCAGACGUUACCAAGACCGCUGAACCAUACUACCUUCUCAGGGAAAUGAUUGAAGAGUAUGACAACACAUCCUUUCUGAACCCAAGGAGCUUAGGAUCUGAUGCCGAGGAGAAAAACAACAACACAAAGAAACCUGCAAUGGAACCCAGGCACAGAAGCUACCCGGCACCGCUCACGGUCUCCCGCGCUCUGAUACCACCGCAAGCCCCCUCCUGACACGCCACGCGGCGACCCCGCCGGCGGGAAAAGCGGGCAGCAGCUGAGGUGAG
This is a long non-coding RNA of Herpailurus yagouaroundi (jaguarundi), 299 nucleotides long. RefSeq lists it as uncharacterized. The transcript has 3 exons. The record is from RefSeq and is a predicted model, not a curated record. Lineage: Eukaryota; Metazoa; Chordata; Mammalia; Carnivora; Felidae.